This is a long non-coding RNA of Symphalangus syndactylus (siamang), 531 nucleotides long. RefSeq lists it as uncharacterized. NCBI's taxonomy places the organism in Eukaryota, Metazoa, Chordata, Mammalia, Primates, Hylobatidae. The record is from RefSeq and is a predicted model, not a curated record.
CAAGCUGCUCACAUGUGCCCUCCUCCAGGAGCCCUGCUUGGAGGAGCAGAGAUGUCAGCUGCAACCCUCCAGGUUCAGCUCAGGGAACACCCCCUUCUCAGUCUGGCUUCCUUUUUCUUUUCUCUCAGGAGUUUCCUAGAUCUGAGAUCUCAAGACCAUGGGCUCUUCGUCUCCCACAUAUGAGGAGCCUGCCUUCAGCAGUUGCAAAUAGAAGAUCAUUUGAUUCCACCAGACCUUCAAAAUCUGGGUUUUGACCUUGACGAUAUUUAUUGACUGAAGUCAUCCAAACAAGGACUUCCGAAGGCUGUAGCAUCCAGUGGUUUUUAUAGAGGAAAGGUCCACUCCAACAUGAAGACACUGGGAGGAAAGGAAGAAUAGCGAAGGAAGCUAAAAGUGGAAUCACUGGCAUAGGAGGAGAAACAAAGAAAGUCCAUCCAGGAAGCCGGAAUGGUUCAGCGGUGAGGAUAAGGCUGCAUCACUGGAAUGCAUUUCGUGUUGAUAUAAGAAAUUGGCAGAAUUUGGAAAAUGGAG